AGUGGGGAAUUUUCCGCAAUGGGCGAAAGCCUGACGGAGUAAUACCGCGUGAGGGAGGAAGGCUCUUGGGUUGUAAACCUCAAAACUUAGGGAAGAAAAAAAUGACGGUACCUAAUGUAAGCAUCGGCUAACUCCGUGCCAGCAGCCGCGGUAAUACGGAGGAUGCAAGCGUUAUCCGGAAUCAUUGGGCGUAAAGAGUCCGUAGGUGGCACUUCAAGUCUGCUUUCAAAGACCGAAGCUCAACUUCGGAAAGGGAGUGGAAACUGAAGAGCUAGAGUAUAGUAGGGGUAGAGGGAAUUCCUAGUGUAGCGGUGAAAUGCGUAGAGAUUAGGAAGAACACCAGUGGCGAAGGCGCUCUACUGGGCAUAUACUGACACUGAGGGACGAAAGCUAGGGGAGCGAAAGGGAUUAGAUACCCCUGUAGUCCUAGCGGUAAACGAUGGAUACUAGGCGUAGUGCUGUUAGAAGGACUGUGCCGAAGCUAACGCGUUAAGUAUCCCGCCUGGGGAGUACGCACGCAAGUGUG
RNAcentral lists this ribosomal RNA (526 nucleotides) under uncultured bacterium. Its description in RNAcentral is "bacterial SSU rRNA". It matches the Rfam family "Bacterial small subunit ribosomal RNA", at positions 353 to 896 of the family's 1533-position model. The record is from RNAcentral.